GGGGUUAGCUCAGCGGUAGAGCACUUGCCUAGCAUGUGUGAGGUCCUGUGUUUGAUUCCCAGCACUGCA
This 69-nucleotide transfer RNA is filed under the name Marmota monax (woodchuck). RNAcentral describes it as "tRNA.Ala". Lineage: Eukaryota; Metazoa; Chordata; Mammalia; Rodentia; Sciuridae. The record is from RNAcentral.